This 70-nucleotide transfer RNA is filed under the name Fulvia mutica. RNAcentral describes it as "tRNA-Cys". The record is from RNAcentral. Lineage: Eukaryota; Metazoa; Mollusca; Bivalvia; Cardiida; Cardiidae.
UGGUGGGGAACUAUAAGAUAAAGUAGGCUGGAAGUGCAAUCUCAGACCGGGGUAUGAACCCCUCUACCAG